RNAcentral lists this transfer RNA (72 nucleotides) under Phrynosoma platyrhinos (Desert horned lizard). Its description in RNAcentral is "tRNA-OTHER". Lineage: Eukaryota; Metazoa; Chordata; Lepidosauria; Squamata; Phrynosomatidae. The record is from RNAcentral.
ACCAGAGUGGUGUAGUGGUUUGAGCACUGGACUAUGACUCUGGAGAGCAGGGUUCAAAUCCCAGUUCUGCCC